UACAGAGGGGGCAAGCGUUGUUCGGAAUUACUGGGCGUAAAGGGCGCGUAGGCGGCCUGUUAAGUCGAACGUGAAAUCCCCGGGCUCAACCCGGGAACUGCGUCCGAUACUGGCAGGCUUGAAUCCGGGAGAGGGAUGCGGAAUUCCAGGUGUAGCGGUGAAAUGCGUAGAUAUCUGGAGGAACACCGGUGGCGAAGGCGGCAUCCUGGACAAUGACUGACGCUAAAACACGAAAGCGUGGGGAGCAAACAGG
This 253-nucleotide ribosomal RNA is filed under the name uncultured bacterium. Its description in RNAcentral is "partial 16S ribosomal RNA". It matches the Rfam family "Bacterial small subunit ribosomal RNA", at positions 524 to 776 of the family's 1533-position model. The record is from RNAcentral.